This 443-nucleotide ribosomal RNA is filed under the name uncultured bacterium. RNAcentral's name for it is "partial 16S ribosomal RNA". It matches the Rfam family "Bacterial small subunit ribosomal RNA", at positions 338 to 795 of the family's 1533-position model. The record is from RNAcentral.
CCUACGGGAGGCAGCAGUGGGGGAUAUUGGACAAUGGGGGGAACCCUGAUCCAGCGACGCCGCGUGAGUGAAGAAGUAUUUCGGUAUGUAAAGCUCUGUCAGCAGGGAAGAAAGAAAUGACGGUACCUGCCCAAGAAGCCCCGGCUAACUACGUGCCAGCAGCCGCGGUAAUACGUAGGGGGCAAGCGUUAUCCGGAGUUACUGGGGGUAAAGGGAGCGUAGACGGUUAAGUAAGUCUGGAGUGAAAGGCCGGGGCACAACCCCGGGACUGCGAUGGAAACUAUUGAACUUGAGUGCAGGAGAGGUAAGCGGAAUUCCUAGUGUAGCGGUGAAAUGCGUAGAUAUUAGGAGGAACACCAGUGGCGAAGGCGGCUUACUGGACUGUAACUGACGUUGAGGCUCGAAAGCGGGGGGAGCAAACAGGAUUAGAUACCCCAGUAGUC